Long non-coding RNA from Bactrocera latifrons, 577 nucleotides. RefSeq lists it as uncharacterized. The record is from RefSeq and is a predicted model, not a curated record. NCBI's taxonomy places the organism in Eukaryota, Metazoa, Arthropoda, Insecta, Diptera, Tephritidae. The transcript is spliced from 3 exons.
CGUCUCAGUAUUUCAAUACGUGUGAGAAUUGAAUUAUAUGUCAAUUAGAAUAUUUUCGCAAAUAGACCGAACUUGAUGUUUGAAAGGUGGUGGAAUUUGAGAAUGCAUGUUGCGCAGCCUAAAACAAAUGAUGGAAACAAAUAUUGGAAAUGCUGGCGCUCAAAUCUCGUUUGAAAAUUAUUUUCAGAGUUGAGGAAAUUACUUGAUUUGCUGUUGCCCAUUAUAAAAAUGACGUUAUUAUUUGCGGGAUUGUCGCACGCUUAUGUUAAGUAUUAUAGAUAAUUAAUUUUCUACCAUACAGAGCACGGCAACAAACGAUUCCAUAAACUUUGUUUGUCAAAUUGUAUUGAAUAGGCCCCAACACCUUCUACAGUUAUGGCCGAUCCAAUUCUGAAUUGUGAAGCUUAUCUGCUAACUCAGUCAUGGCAUUUUUUACUCAAAUUAAAUUUUCAUGUAAUUUUGCUGUUGUAGAAAUUGUGCAAAUGCGUGCAUAAUAAUUGCCAACUUAAUAAUUAUGAUAUUUGAAUUUAUAACACCGAUUAUUUUGAUUUACAUAAUUUUCAUAAAUAUGCACAAA